GCGUAAGAGCUCGUAGGUCGUUUGUUACGUCGGAUGUGAAAACCUGAGGCUCAACCUCAGGCCUGCAUUCGAUACGGGCAAACUAGAGUUUGGUAGGGGAGACUGGAAUUCCUGGUGUAGCGGUGGAAUGCGCAGAUAUCAGGAGGAACACCAAUGGCGAAGGCAGGUCUCUGGGCCAAUACUGACACUGAGGAGCGAAAGUCUGGGGAGCGAACAGGAUUAGAUACCCUGGUAGUCCAGACCGUAAACGGUGGGCACUAGUUGUGGGAACCUUCCACGGUUUCUGCGACGCAGCUAACGCAUUAAGUGCCCCGCCUGGGGAGUACGAUCGCAAGAUUAAAACUCAAAGGAAUUGACGGGGCCCCGCACAAGCAGCGGAGCAUGCGGCUUAAUUCGACGCAACGCGAAGAACCUUACCAAGGCUUGACAUAUAGGGAAAAGUGGCAGAGAUGUCAUGUCCGCAAGGGCUCUAUACAGGUGGUGCAUGGUUGUCGUCAGCUCGUGUCGUGAGAUGUUGGGUUAAGUCCCGCAACGAGCGCAACCCUCGUUCUGUGUUGCCAGCAUUUAGUUGGGGACUCACAGGAGACUGCCGGGGUUAACUCGGAGGAAGGUGGGGAUGACGUCAAAUCAUCAUGCCCCUUAUGUCUUGGGCUGCACGCAUGCUACAAUGGCCGGUACAGAGGGCUGCAAUACCGUAAG
This 699-nucleotide ribosomal RNA is filed under the name uncultured Actinomycetes bacterium. RNAcentral describes it as "bacterial SSU rRNA". It matches the Rfam family "Bacterial small subunit ribosomal RNA", at positions 558 to 1261 of the family's 1533-position model. The record is from RNAcentral. Lineage: Bacteria; Bacillati; Actinomycetota; Actinomycetes.